RNAcentral lists this ribosomal RNA (387 nucleotides) under Triticum aestivum (bread wheat). Its description in RNAcentral is "partial small subunit ribosomal RNA". The record is from RNAcentral. Lineage: Eukaryota; Viridiplantae; Streptophyta; Magnoliopsida; Poales; Poaceae.
AUGAUUUUUGGCAUUUUGCUUCUUCAUUCACAUCGCUUCAUUAAUUCAUUUUUGAAGCCUAGCUGCGGCCUUUGGGGCGAACAACUGGCCGCGCAAGCAAAUGGCCGGGCAGGUAUGGUGCUUUUCGCUGCUAUGAACAUCUUGUAUCGUGUGGUAACAUUUUACGUGCUAUGUUCGUUGUCCGUAGUGAGUGGUAGUUUUUUUAUACUUGUAAUUCACAAAGCUAUGGUACACCUAGAUGUAUUCUGCCUAGCUAGAGCAACUAUGGACCAUCUCAAAACACUUAACCCCCAGGAAUUUAUUGGUAUUAUGAGCGUGGAAUCUAACCCAUUCCCAAAACCUAAGUUCCAAAAGAGAUUCUUUUUGCUAAACAAUCCUUCUUUUUAA